CACGUAGGGGGCAAGCGUUGUCCGGAUUUAUUGGGCGUAAAGAGCUCGUAGGCGGUUCGGUAAGUCGGGUGUGAAAACUCUGGGCUCAACUCAGAGACGCCACCCGAUACUGCCGUGACUGGAGUCUGGUAGGGGAGUGUGGAAUUCCCGGUGUAGCGGUGAAAUGCGCAGAUAUCAGGAGGAACACCGGUGGCGAAGGCGGGUCUCUGGGCCGAUACUGACGCUGAGGAGCGAAAGCGUGGGGAGCGAACAGG
This 254-nucleotide ribosomal RNA is filed under the name uncultured bacterium. RNAcentral describes it as "partial 16S ribosomal RNA". It matches the Rfam family "Bacterial small subunit ribosomal RNA", at positions 524 to 776 of the family's 1533-position model. The record is from RNAcentral.